Molecule: long non-coding RNA, 5762 nt
Filed under: Nicotiana tabacum (common tobacco)
Lineage: Eukaryota; Viridiplantae; Streptophyta; Magnoliopsida; Solanales; Solanaceae
Description: long non-coding RNA (NTAB_LNC011708)
Source: RNAcentral
AAUUACAAGAGAAGAAUGUAUGAUUAAUGGUUAACCAAGCUCUAAAAUUAUUCAAAAAGGCUAAAAACGGUUGUUCACGUGUUCCUCUAAACAACAGAUGACCCAAAAUCUGAAAAAGAACUAUUUAUACACAGCUAAAUUUUUUGGACAAAAAUUUCCCCUACGGAGGUUCAGUUGAUAGCGGAAAAUGGAUCGCUACAGCGCUAUAACUACCGCGGCCGCGCAAAAUCAAGCGCGGACCACGGUCUUCAGAUUUUAGCUCCACUUAUGGUUCUCUGAAUUUGGCUUCCGCUGAGGGCGGUAACUUUACCGCGGCCGCGCAAAAGCUACUGCUACCGCGCAAUUUCACCGCGGGCACCGGUAACUUGUUAAGAACAAAAUACAGCUCUCUGAACUUUUCCACCGCUGAGAGCGUAAACAAGACCGCCUCAGCGGUGGACCCUCCGUGUCCGCGCCUAUUUUUUCGCUGUCAGCACUCUUUGUGACUCAUCUUUGAACUUGUGCAGGUUUCACUACUUUAUGAGCUGGUUUUGACUUUCUUGUCUUUUUUUGACCAAACACUGCAAACAAGCACAAUAAGUUAGCUUUCGGGAAUACUUGUACACACUUUUAAUCCAAUACUUAAGCAAAAAGGAGCACAAAAUAGACUAGAAUCCCUAAUUAUCAACUCCCCCAAACUUAAGCUUUUGCUUGUCCUUAAGCAAACACAGUAACUCCCACCUCCUUAAGAUUAAAGAAAGGAAAAUUUCAAUUGUCCUAAAGUAACCUCAUCAAGAAUCAAUUAGGACUAACAAUUAUCCUCAACCCAAAUGCAUUAUUAAUAAUAAACAACCUUUUUUAGCACCAUGGCUAUAGUGCGACACAAAAGAAACAAGAGUUGACUCAACUCAUCAAGGAAACUCUUUCUAUUACAUUGGUCGUUGUGGAACCCAAACUCAUACUCUUCAACUCUCCAUAAGCAAACCUCACUUUUAGAUUGUAGCACUCAGAAUGAGGAUUGUGGAAAACACACUCAUCUCUCUCAAAGGAAGGUCACAAGUCCGGCUCUAAGUACCAUAAGCUUGCCCCUUAUGUGAGUCACCACGAAUGUAAGCUCACUCAACUCAAGAUCAUAUAGGGCUUUUGCGGGCAUGUAAUGAAGGCUUUUGGUUUAGGGUAGGAUAUAUUGGUCUAAGAAGGUUUUAUCUUUCCUUAAGCACUAUAUUUGCUUCAUUUUGGCACACAUUCUUGACUCUUUGAGUCAAUUACUUCUUCCUUAAGGGCUAGAGAGACACAUUGUCACUCUUUCUUGUUCAUUUCAAUCCUUUUUCUCCUUUCUAAUCUUUCUAUGCCUUUCAUCUUUUGCUUUUAUUGAAUCCCUUCAUUUCUUCUACAUUGUUCACUUUCUUUUUAAUUUUUUGGCUUUUCUUUCUUUUUCUUUUUGCCUUUCUCUUUCUUCAUUUUGUACCUUUUAUCACUUUUGCAUUCCUCGUCUCUCCCCCCAAACUUAUGAUUUUGCCUUGUACUAAGGAAAGAUCGGGUGCCAAGAGAGGAUCAUUUUAGAAUUGAUAAAGGCUUGUAUCAUGGUUAUUGAAAGAAUAAGGGCUAUGGUUCAACGGGGUUGACUAGGGAUAUCAUUCUUGGUAGGCUAUGGAUGUUUUCAAGCUACAAUUUGGAUCAAGAAGAGCCUAUAAUCACUUCUCAAGUCGAUCUACACUUAGGAUUUCGCCUAGACAAACAUUUAGGGCAAGUUCUAGACCCAUUGGCAUGGGACUUGGAUUUGCAAAUCAAUACCUCACCACACAAGCUAUAGGAUUUCUAAAGAGACGGAGGCGGGGGCCCACAACAACCUUAGCUAAGAUUUUAGCAACACAAAUGGUAUCGAGAACCCACUCGAUGAUUGUUUAGUCAACACAAUAGUUUCAAGGUCAAAACUAUCACCAUCCUAUACACACUAAUUAUUUUUAACCAUAAGGUCAAAGGUAAAUGUGUUAGGCCCAAGUGAAGCUUUGCCUAAGGCACUACUGCUCACUAACUACUAUUUACACAAAAAUGAAAAGAAAAACAAACUCAAACCCUUAAGAAGGUUGUCAUGCCAUCCAUCAUCGGGAAGAUCCACCCGGUUCACACAAACUCCACCUUUGGAAAGAACUGUGGCAUUAAGAAAACCAAAGGCUUAUUGGUCACAAAAACUUGUAAAACAAGAAGCUAUGAACCGAAGAAGAAGCUACUAAAUGAAAUAAGAAGCUAUACUAUUAAGGAAAAUUGCAAAAGAAGUUAUGAAGUAAAAUGCGGAAAGUAAACUAAAUAUGUACAAUAGGGUAUUUAGACGAAUAUAAAUAAGAGGAAAUGAAUAUAUACAUGAGAGAGUAAUAGAUAUAGACCAAGAUUGAAAAAUAACAAAAAGUGAAAUAAAUGGUAAAGUUAUAUACAUACCAAAAGUUAAAAAUAAGCAUAAAGAAAAAAUAGUAUCAUCAUUACAACCAAACUAUCAAAUCAUCAAAUCAAAAUAGGACCACCCCCUCAAAUGAAAACUAGCAUUGUCCUCAAUGCUAAAUAACCAAAAAUAAGAUCAAAAAGGGGUUAAAGAGUAAAGAAAAAUCCCUAUGGGUGCUCUGUCUGCAUGGAGUCCUGUGGUUGGGUGCCUGGAUCACCUGGCUCAAGGUCCUGUGGCUGGCCUGAGGCACCUCUCUCAAGGUCCUUCAGCUCAAUCUCGACAUCAUCAACCCGGGGCAUCACUUUCCUCCUCCUAGGCUCUCCCUCAGUCUCUUGCUCUUGAACCUGCUCUAUCUGAGCUGCUGGAAGUUGGUCCCGUGAUAGUAGCUCCAAUGGUAGGUCACCAGCUGGCUUUAUCUUCUCCACCUCUCCCCUCAAUUGCUUCACCGACUCCUUUAAGGCCCGAGUCUUUUUCAGCUUCUUUGUCUACUUGCUCAGCUCCUUAAUUGAUCUUCCUUGAAUUGCAAGAGCAUACAUGAUAAGCUUUUGGUUGUCCAAGAGCAUCUUCUGGUUGUCCAGAAACUCCUUGAGGGACUCCUCUACUGAAGCUGGCACCUGGGGCUGUGUGGGAACUGACUGGGCUGCCACUAAACUAGAUAGCACAGACAGGUUAGAAGUUGUUGCCUGCAUCCAGUUGUUGAUACUGGAGAAUGUUUGGUUCAACCUGUAAGCAGUCAACGGGUAUGCUGAGGAGGAGGGCACUGAGGACGGCAUAGAAGUAGAUAGUCCGAAGGCAAGAUCUGGUAUGGUAGUGGGAGACUGUGAAAUAGUGACUAUCACUACUGGCUCUUCAGAUUGGCCAGUAAAAGCAGUAGUUUUGCCCUUGGAUCCCUUGAAUUAAGGGUUUCCUGGACCCUGAAGGUUGUACCAUGAGAAGGGCUUCUUGGGCUUUACCGUGAUAUCGAAAUGUCUUUUUUUCUACCUCCUGAUCUUCCAAGUACAUGGUGAGGAAAUUCAGGAAGGGGUAAGAUCUAUCACUACAAUCGAGUGGGCGGGUCGUGAAUAGCCGCCACUACAAUCGCCCGGGAAACCGGUAUGGUGUUGUCGUGAAUAGUGAUGCCAACCAUGGGCGGGUCGCCUCAUCCAUCGCCACCUUCUCUAAGUACAGCGACUCAUCUUCAUCAUUGAAUCCAAAAUAAUCAUUUAGAGUCGUCCCAUCAAACUUGACCUUCAAGUUCCGCACCUUAGUCACUUUUGUGCCUUUUUUGAUGUGAGAGGCAUUGGCAUAGAAUUCCUUGACUAGGUGCUCAUUAGCAUCCGGCACCUUGCUAGUGAAGUACUCCUAUCCCACUAUUUCAUUGAAGUGCUGCUUCACAUUAGGGUUGUGGAGCAGAAGAUCCCGCUCUAUGAACUGAUGCUCAUGUAUGAGUGAUUUUUUAGGCCACCACUCCCUGAACUUGUGAUAUGCUAGCUCACUGACAAAUCUUUGUUGCCAAACCUCUGGGUUUCUUGUCCUCUCCACACCUACGGUCUGCGUAUCACCCCCUCUCCCAUUAUCCGGUACCUCGACAUCUACAUCUAUGAGACCCUGUGCCGGUGACGAAGCUAUGAGUAAGGCUGAAGUUGAGGACUCACUAUCACACCUCCUUUUUCCCAUAGGGAAUAGGGAGUUUUUCCAAUUAAACGGGAUUAUUUAUAUUCAAUUUAGAGUCGUCACUUGGGAUAAUUUAUGGUGUCCCAAGUCACCAGUUUAAAAUUCCUAAUCGAGGAAGUUUGACUAUGUUUUACAAUCCGCGAAACACAGAAAUCCGGGUAAGGAAUUCUGUUAACCCAGGAGAAGGUGUUAGGCAUUCCCGGGUUCUAUGGUUUUUGCACAGUCGCUCAACUGUUAAUAUUGGCCUAAUUAUCUGAUUUGUUACACAUUUUAAACCUACGUGCAUUUGUAACUUUCUAACCGCUUUUAAUGUUUAUAGAAUUAUUUUCUGGAACAAGUCACAAUUGUCGUACAUUUGUCAUUUUGGUACACAUUGCAAACCGCGUCACAUGAAAUGCACCCGUGAUUGACAACAUGUUUAUUUUAUUAUUGUUCGAAGUUAUGGUCGGGUUACAUAAAAUGCACACCCAAAUUGUGAUUUAUGUAUCGCGGCCAUGCCACGGGAAUCGUACUCAUGGCCACGAUGAUUUAUUAAUCGCGCAUGAAGCAAACUACGCCGUUCAUAGUUAUCAUCCUAAACCAAUUUGGGAUUGUUGUAAGCCCGGGAUUUAUGGAAUUAUGGAGUUUAAACUUGGACGAAAUUUGAUGUAUUAAGACUAAUUUAAUAGAUUCCAACGUACUGCGGUAUUUAUGAAGGAAAGGUCUCCGAAAGAGUCCAAGUCAAUUACUUCAUAAAGCUCUUUAUUUACUAAAACUUAACUCCAAUCACUAAAAUUAAUAUAACCCAUAAGUUAAAAGAAGUCCAUCAACAUAAAUAUGUAAUUCACAGCCUCAAACAUUAGUUAAAGUAUUUUUGGGAUAAAUUAAAAUACUAAAAAGAAUAAUGAAACAGAAAGGAAAAUUAUUACAAAAUCAAGACAACGGACCAACCAAAAAACGAGCAUUUCACUAAAAUAACAAUACAACCCAACGUAGUAUGAAACAUAUUCAACGUAGUAUGGAACAAAACCUGGGAUCACUCAGAAACCCACACUUAUUUGUAUUAGGCAAGUUAAAUCAACAGUUUAUUUCAAUUAAUUUUAUGUAGAAUAUGAAGGCGUGAAACAUCAUCUCAGAAUGACCAUAAUUCCAAGCGUGAAAGAAAAGGGAAGAAAGAGAUGAACCUGAAAUUACAGCUUUUACUUUCGGCUUUGAAUAUACAAUAAGAAAUACAGUGCCAAAAUUCGUGCGUCCAGUAGAAAACAAACAAAACAGCGAUAAAAAUGGAUUUGGAACCACAAUCAAGAACCUCACGAGCAGUCGACGUACCUCAACCAAAAAUCUUCUCUUGAUUUUGGUUGUUCCCCUUUUUCCUCUUUUCUGUUUUGAUUUCAAUUUCCUCCCCCUCUGUCUCUCUGUUACUGUUACUCUCUAUUCUUCUUUUGUUUUCUUUUUAAUUGUCAUGUCUUUUGGUCUUUGUUUUGUGCAGGUUAUGGUUGUCUAGGUUUGUCAUUCUCUCUAUGCAAAGAGAUGAGUGGUCCGAUUUUUAUAUGGGGUAGAGGGUUCUGCCGUUCUGCUCUUUUUUCUUAGGUCCCCUAUCCAAGACAAAGAGAUAGGGACUUUAAGGGGAAGAUAUCUUAUGUCUUAGGGUUAGGUUAGUGGGUCAAUUGGGCCAUGGGGUAAUGGUGUAGGGUUGUCCGAAAUUGGGCCUUUC